RNAcentral lists this ribosomal RNA (404 nucleotides) under uncultured bacterium. RNAcentral's name for it is "bacterial SSU rRNA". It matches the Rfam family "Bacterial small subunit ribosomal RNA", at positions 28 to 458 of the family's 1533-position model. The record is from RNAcentral.
GAUGAACGCUGGCGGCGUGCCUAAUACAUGCAAGUCGAGCGAACCACUUCGGUGGUGAGCGGCGAACGGGUGAGUAACACGUAGGUGAUCUGCCCAUCAGACGGGGACAACGAUUGGAAACGAUCGCUAAUACCGGAUAGGACGAAAGUUUAAAGGUGCUUCUGGCACCGCUGAUGGAUGAGCCUGCGGCGCAUUAGCUAGUUGGUAGGGUAAGGCCUACCAAGGCGACGAUGCGUAGCCGACCUGAGAGGGUGAACGGCCACACUGGGACUGAGACACGGCCCUGACUCCUACGGGAGGCAGCAGUAGGGAAUCUUCGGCAAUGGGCGAAAGCCUGACCGAGCAACGCCGCGUGAAUGAUGAAGGCCUCGGUUGUAAAUCUGUAUAAGGAAGAACGACUUAGU